Durio zibethinus is the source of this 3527-nucleotide long non-coding RNA. RefSeq lists it as uncharacterized. The record is from RefSeq and is a predicted model, not a curated record. NCBI's taxonomy places the organism in Eukaryota, Viridiplantae, Streptophyta, Magnoliopsida, Malvales, Malvaceae.
UGCAUUUCCGUUUGACUACCUCGCAUAUUCUUUCCAAGUCUUCUUCAAAAAAUUGUAAACCUCUCUAAAAAAAUUUCGUUGAAUUUCAAAAUAAGUACCAGGGAAAGCUCUUUCAAAUCUUCUCCCUUCAAAACAAUAAUUCUCUUUCUUCAAAAAGCUCCUAACAAAUCUUCUAUCGAAAAAACCCUCCACCACUCUCUCAAUUUUCUAAUUAGGACCCUAAUUUUUUGAACAUGAACCAUUAUCACAUCUACAACUCCUUCAGUCGUGGCAAUACUUGGAAGAAAGAAGAAGACAUCUGAGCAUUCCACAAUCAAAAGCACUGGUAAAAUGAUUAUCAACCUUCUGGAAUCAAUGACUUGAAAUUUACUAUAUUUUCAAGUUCAUGCUUUUAUGAGAACAUAGCUUGGAUGGAGUUCCAUAACAACACUGAUAGUAAGUUUGGUGGUGGAACUCUCCAUAUUAAGAAAGAGUGGGCAGGAAGAAGGGAAGUAAGAAAAAAAGACAGAUUCUGCUAUGGUCUGGAUCUCUCCAUAUCAAGGUAAUAACUUUGGUUUUUUUUUUUUUUGUAUUUAUUUUUUAAAAAAUGUUUUGGAGUGUUUUAGAAUCUGAGUAUUACUUGGUUUUAGUUAAAGGUACUUAACUUUUGAAUUUCUUUGAGGUUUAUGGAAUAUUUCACUUUCGGGGUAUUGUUUGGUUUGAGUUGAAAGUGAUUAAACUUUGAAUUCUUUUUAUUCAUUUUAGUUUCUAUGGGUUUUUAUAGAGAGAGGAAAGUGAUUAAUUUAGGUUUGUUUUUUUUUUUUUUCUUUUUUCUACUUAAUUUGUGGAAUUUAUAGUCUGAUUUCAUAUGUUUUUCCCCUAGUUUUAGCUAUAUAUUCUCCUAAAAUUUGAGUUAUAGUAUUUGGUAAAGUUAGAGAACAUUUAUUGAAACAAUUUUUAGUAUAGGAUAUUUGCAUAACUUAAGAAUAGAAUGAUGCAACUUGUUUCCUAUGGGUGGUAGUAGAAUUGAUUAGAGUUUCAAGAAUAAAAUGAUGUAAAAAUUAUAUGUGAUAUGAAUGCGAUUGUUUAGGUUAGCCAAGUCCAUAGUUGGAUGUGUGUGGAUUUUUUUUGUCUUUGCAACUCUAUACAUUAUUACUUUGGAUUAUUAUUUUUUCUCAACAGCAUAUACUUGAAAUCAAGCAGUGAGAAGAAAGAGUCGAGUAUGAAUAUGCAAGUUUCCAUUCUUAGUUACUUUGACUUAGAAAAUGACAUCUUGAUUAAACAAUAACACUCAAAUAGAUUUAUAAUUUUUAAAUUAGUCUCAAACAACAUCUUUUGUCUUUUACACGUUUGUGUCAGCAAUGAUGCAGAUGUUCCUACUUCUUAUUGCAAAUACACGUUCAAUUGGUAGAACAAUGUUGUCUUGCUUGAUUUGUUAUUAAACUUGGGUGAUUUUAGCUAUUUUUUCGACUUUUCAUGACUCUUAAAGGUAAAUUAACAAGCAUGUGGAAUUGCUCCUCAUUUAGCACAUGGAUAACUUAGGUUUGUGAUAUUAAUAUUGCUUAAUGUUUAAACAAAUCUCACUUGGUUUGUCAAAAAACUUUUUGAUUUUAGGCUUUUUAAGCAUUUCUCAUUCCUUAAAAUUUUUAAACCAAGUUUUUUGUUCAUUUAGGUAUGUAGCUAACUUAAAUUGAUAAAUUAAACUUACUCAAAUGUUAAAUAUGGUAGUGAGCUUUUUUUUUUUUUUUCACUACCAUUCUUAGCAUUAUUAGUUAUUAAAACCGAUUGUUGGUUGAAUUGCAAGAAGAAUUUUUAUUGGUUGAAUUGGUAAAGUGAGAUUCUGCAUUUUUUUAUUAAUUAUUUCUAUUCUUUUUUUUGGGUCAAAUUUGAUGUAUAAUUAGACUGCUUUUUUCUACCCCUUUUAUAACUUUUAAGGGUAAAUUUUCAAGUUUAUACAGUUAUUCCUCAUUUUCAAGCAUGUUUUAUUUCUUCAAUUUUUCUAUUAACUAUUUUUGUUGCUUAAGGGUAUGCCAUGUAAAGGGGUUUAAAUCUUUCAUGACAAGAUAAAAAUUUUAUCACAUUGAGUCUCUAAAUGCUUUAAAUAUAAAAUUGUCAAAUUGAUUUUGUUGUUAAUGCAUUGUAAUGCAUUUUAAUUGACUAGGCUCAAACCCAAAAGAUAAAAAUUGUUGAAUUGAUUUUAUUGUUAAAAAGAUAAAUAAGUUGUUGUCAUUGGUUAUAAGUUUUGCCUAGAGGAUUCCAUUAUAGUUGACUGUUUUAUAGUUUUAAGGUUCUUUUUUUUAAUAAGCAUUUUUGUUACAAUAGAGAAAAAUCGCAAAAGACACUUCAAUGUCUUGCAGCAAAGAAUUUAAGGGGUGAAAUGCAUAAUGGAGGUAUAAAACUUAAUUUAUUAAGCAAUUAACGGACGGUUCAAAAAAUUUUAUGAUAACUUUUCUUUAAAAUAUGUUGAACCUAAUUCAUGUUUGCUAUUUCAUCAAUCUUGACUUGAAGAAAAAAUAUUUUUUGUAUAUAUUAUAUAUAUGUUCUACAACUUAUAGUGCUACCAUAGACAAAAACUGUAGAUGGCAAUUACAUUAGUGAAAGAAAAAAUAUAAAUCGAAGUACAUUCUUAAUACAUUUGCAUAUAUUACAUAUUUUUAAAGCAUUAAUAUUUCUCCUACCACAGCGUAGUGUGGACGCUAGUGCAUAUUCAGAAAAAAAUGUCAUCUUCUAUACAAACAAUAAAAUCAAAACUUUACAUUUGACCUUCAUUCCCUUGAUUGAGAGGAAAACUUAUACUGUAACUUCUUUUAAACGUGAAUUCAGUAACUCCAAAUCGUCUCGCCGUCUAAAUGUUGGUUGACUUGUUAUAGCUAGGAAAUUAACAAUAUACCAAUAGUGACCAAAGGAUCAUUAACCAAGGUUUUUUAAUGUUGCUUUCUCUGUUUCUGGCGGCUGUUGAGACAGCCCAUAAAGCCAUAACACUCCAAUCUGGAGCUAUUUUGUCGAAAACCAUUAGCCAACGCCAUCAGCUGAUGCCUCCAUGAAUGCCAUAUCAUGUCUCGGAACUCAUGCAGGGAAAUCAUUGCAGGACUUGCAUGAUAUUGAAAAUUUUUGAUUAAGUUGAAACAUCUGUCGUAUAUACGUCAGGCCUGUUCCAAACUCUGUUAUAUGAAGCCUAGGCUCUACACUAGAAUUUCUUGUGUUAGACCGUUCCAUUUCGGCGUGCGAUUAGAAGUUUCUAAACGAGACAACUAAAGGUAAUGAAAGGUUAGAGUCGAGAUUUUCUCUUGAGUUGAGCAUCUAUUCAAAGCUUGAUGUUGAUUCUUUGGCUAUAUUAUCACUGCAUUUACACAUUUUGUGGUAGUGAUUAUUUUAUCUUCUUUGAGAUAUUCAGGAUAUGUUGAAACUUGUCUAUCGUAAAGCACCCCUUUAAGAUGCAAAAUUUACUCUUUUCACUGUUUUUAGCUCUUUGAAAUAAGAUUAACAGCCCAAUUCGCCUCAGCGGAUUCUAACUUGAUCCGAACCUAUAGAAUUUUUUUUUUUUUUUG